GGAUGUGAGGGCGAUCUGGCUGCUACAGCUGUCACCCCAUUGAUCCCCAGUGAUCCCCAUUGAUCACCAGGGUUGAUUCUGCUGAUCUGGCUGGCUAGGCGGGUGUCCCCUUCCUCCCUCUCUGGUCCAUGUGCAUCCCUCCCAAAGCUGAGCAUUUGGUCAAAGAGGAAGGACUUCCCCUAAUAGAGAUGGACUGAUCUUCGGUCGAGAGUAGCUGUGCUUCCCAGCUAGAACCUCCAAACUAGCUCUCAAUCCCAGGACCCACCACGUUGAAAGAAGUUUCAGAGCUGUGGUAUUUCAUUCUUUCUCUCUGCUUCU
RNAcentral lists this small nuclear RNA (318 nucleotides) under Erinaceus europaeus (western European hedgehog). RNAcentral's name for it is "7SK RNA". It matches the Rfam family "7SK RNA". Rfam says of the family: 7SK was discovered as an abundant small nuclear RNA in the mid-70s but a possible function has only recently been suggested. Lineage: Eukaryota; Metazoa; Chordata; Mammalia; Eulipotyphla; Erinaceidae. The record is from Rfam by way of RNAcentral.